This is a long non-coding RNA of Oncorhynchus tshawytscha (Chinook salmon), 614 nucleotides long. The record is from Ensembl. NCBI's taxonomy places the organism in Eukaryota, Metazoa, Chordata, Actinopteri, Salmoniformes, Salmonidae.
GAGGUAGAUAUGUAUAGGGGGAAGGAGACAGGGAUACUGGAGUGAUGGAGGUAGAUAUGUAUAGGGGGAAGGAGACAGGGAUACUGGAGUGAUGGAGGUAGAUAUGUAUAGGAGACAGGGAUACUGGAGUGAUGGAGGUAGAUAUGUAUAGGGGGAAGGAGACUAGGAAUCACGAUCAAAGAUAAACAGAGUAGCAGUGUGUGUGUGUAUAGAGUGUCAGUAUAAAUGUUUGUGCUUAUUAUUUGUGAGUGACAAAAUGGAGUGUGUGUGUGUUGCAGUCUGUGUUUUGUAGUGUGUGUGCGUCUGUGUGUUGUAGUGUGUGUGUGUGUGUGUGUGUGUGUAGUGUGUUUUGUAGUGUGUGUGUGUGUGUGUUGUAGUGUGUGUUGUAGUGUGUGUUGCAGUCUGUGUUUUGUAGUGUGUGUGCGUCUGUGUGUUGUAGUGUGUGUGUGUGUGUGUGUGUGUGUGUAGUGUGUGUGUGUGUGUGUGUGUGUGUGUGUGUGUUGUAGUGUGUGUGUUGUAGUGUGUGUUGUAGUGUGUGCGUAAGAGUGUAGGGCCCCUGUGAGUGUCUAUAGAGAGACUAGCUGAUUAUUGAGUUGUGGCUGUCAGUGAAUAGC